Engraulis encrasicolus (European anchovy) is the source of this 360-nucleotide non-coding RNA. The record is from the annotation of a RefSeq genome assembly. Lineage: Eukaryota; Metazoa; Chordata; Actinopteri; Clupeiformes; Engraulidae.
AUGAUUCCCACACCUCUUCUGUUGUUACUGCUGCUGCCAGCUACCACCUGUGUUAAUGGCAUUGAGCUCAUCCAGCCCAGUGCAGUUGUUGUGAAACCAGGGGAGUCCUUCUCCAUCUCCUGUAAGAUAUCUGGGUUCUCAACAAGUCACUGUUACAACUGGAUACGGCAGCCUGUGGGGAAGGUUCUGGAGUGGGUUGGCUAUGUGUGUGGCAGUGGAAGUAGUGGAACCAAGGACUCCCUAAAAGGCAAGAUCAGCUUCAGAGCAGAGGCAUCCUCUACUACAGUGUUUUUGCAAGGCCAACACUUCCAGGCGGAGGACACAGCUGUGUAUUAUUGCACUCGAAAGCCCACAGCAUGA